AACAUGUAAACUAUUUUAGAGCAUUUAUGCUAUCGAGCACUUGUCCAUCCAUUACAUUUCAUGUUAUGGUUAGAUAGGAGAUCAAAUCGGCAUAGACUUGUGCCAAGAAAAGUGAAUUUCCUUGGAGUAUUAAACAAUUGCGUUCUCUUGAAGCAUUUUGUUUUAGAGAUGGUUGUUGUUAGCUCCAUUAUAUAUUGUAUGACUCUUGACAAUGGAUAUCUUGGCUCUUGCAUCGAUGAAGAGCGUAGCGAAAUGCGAUACAUGGUGCGAAUUGCAGAAUCCCGUGAACCAUCAAGUUUUUGAAUGCAAGUUGCGCCUGAAGCCCAGAAAGCUAAUGGCACGUCUGCCUGGGAUUCAAGUAGUUCAUCGCUCUAUUUUAUAUCUUAUAGAUGCGGAUAAUGACCUGUUGUGCGUGGUGCAAUUGGUUCAAUAUUGGGUUGAUUUUCACUUGAUAAUUAUCGAUAAUUGGGUGGUUAUUGCUGUUGUGCAACCUUUAUAUCGUAUAAUUGUCUAGUGCAAGAUUGUAGAAAAAUACGUGAUACUUAAAAUAUUAUUGGUGACAUGUUGAAAUGUGACCCCAGGUCAGGCGGGGUAACCCGCUGAGUUUAAGCAUAUAAAU
RNAcentral lists this ribosomal RNA (619 nucleotides) under Disperis capensis. Its description in RNAcentral is "eukaryotic LSU rRNA". The stretch from base 201 to 357 matches the Rfam family "5.8S ribosomal RNA". The record is from RNAcentral. Lineage: Eukaryota; Viridiplantae; Streptophyta; Magnoliopsida; Asparagales; Orchidaceae.